This 558-nucleotide unclassified non-coding RNA is filed under the name Hevea brasiliensis (rubber tree). The record is from RNAcentral. Lineage: Eukaryota; Viridiplantae; Streptophyta; Magnoliopsida; Malpighiales; Euphorbiaceae.
GAAGAUCAGUCUGAUGAGAGUGAGGAGGAGACACCAAAGAAGGCUGAACCUAGUAGAAAGAGACCUGCAGAUUCUGCUGCAAAAACACCUGUUCCUGAUAAAAAGACAAAAUUCUUAACUCCUCAAAAGACUGAUGGUAAGAAAGGUGCUGUUCAUGUGGCAACCCCUCACCCCUCAAAACAGGCUGGUAAGACUCCUGGAAACAAGCCAAACCAGACUCCAAAAUCUGGCGGAUCACUUGCCUGCAAGACAUGCAACAGGACUUUUGGUUCUGAAAAUGCUCUGGAAUCUCACUCGAAAGCUAAGCACAGCGCUGGAAAGUAAAUAGGAGUAGAAACAUCUGCCUUGGGAUCUGGUUUCGUUUUCUCAAACGUUGGAGGGAAUGAUAAUCAGAAGAGAGUGUUAGCUUUUAGAAUAUUGUUGGUUGACCCUAAUGUAAAGCAACAGUUAGGUCCAGUUUUGCUACUCAUUGGUAUUCUGUUCGAGAUGAACUCUCUGGGUACUAGUGAAGGUUUACUUUGAUUUCGACUGCUGUGUUGGUUGAUAUUCUACUCGAAU